Molecule: ribosomal RNA, 1851 nt
Filed under: Staphylococcus aureus
Lineage: Bacteria; Bacillati; Bacillota; Bacilli; Caryophanales; Staphylococcaceae
Description: partial 23S ribosomal RNA
Rfam family: Bacterial large subunit ribosomal RNA
Source: RNAcentral
AGGAUGUGGCGUUGCCCAGACAACUAGGAUGUUGGCUUAGAAGCAGCCAUCAUUUAAAGAGUGCGUAAUAGCUCACUAGUCGAGUGACACUGCGCCGAAAAUGUACCGGGGCUAAACAUAUUACCGAAGCUGUGGAUUGUCCUUUGGACAAUGGUAGGAGAGCGUUCUAAGGGCGUUGAAGCAUGAUCGUAAGGACAUGUGGAGCGCUUAGAAGUGAGAAUGCCGGUGUGAGUAGCGAAAGACGGGUGAGAAUCCCGUCCACCGAUUGACUAAGGUUUCCAGAGGAAGGCUCGUCCGCUCUGGGUUAGUCGGGUCCUAAGCUGAGGCCGACAGGCGUAGGCGAUGGAUAACAGGUUGAUAUUCCUGUACCACCUAUAAUCGUUUUAAUCGAUGGGGGGACGCAGUAGGAUAGGCGAAGCGUGCGAUUGGAUUGCACGUCUAAGCAGUAAGGCUGAGUAUUAGGCAAAUCCGGUACUCAUUAAGGCUGAGCUGUGAUGGGGAGAAGACAUUGUGUCUUCGAGUCGUUGAUUUCACACUGCCGAGAAAAGCCUCUAGAUAGAAAAUAGGUGCCCGUACCGCAAACCGACACAGGUAGUCAAGAUGAGAAUUCUAAGGUGAGCGAGCGAACUCUCGUUAAGGAACUCGGCAAAAUGACCCCGUAACUUCGGGAGAAGGGGUGCUCUUUAGGGUUAACGCCCAGAAGAGCCGCAGUGAAUAGGCCCAAGCGACUGUUUAUCAAAAACACAGGUCUCUGCUAAACCGUAAGGUGAUGUAUAGGGGCUGACGCCUGCCCGGUGCUGGAAGGUUAAGAGGAGUGGUUAGCUUCUGCGAAGCUACGAAUCGAAGCCCCAGUAAACGGCGGCCGUAACUAUAACGGUCCUAAGGUAGCGAAAUUCCUUGUCGGGUAAGUUCCGACCCGCACGAAAGGCGUAACGAUUUGGGCACUGUCUCAACGAGAGACUCGGUGAAAUCAUAGUACCUGUGAAGAUGCAGGUUACCCGCGACAGGACGGAAAGACCCCGUGGAGCUUUACUGUAGCCUGAUAUUGAAAUUCGGCACAGCUUGUACAGGAUAGGUAGGAGCCUUUGAAACGUGAGCGCUAGCUUACGUGGAGGCGCUGGUGGGAUACUACCCUAGCUGUGUUGGCUUUCUAACCCGCACCACUUAUCGUGGUGGGAGACAGUGUCAGGCGGGCAGUUUGACUGGGGCGGUCGCCUCCUAAAAGGUAACGGAGGCGCUCAAAGGUUCCCUCAGAAUGGUUGGAAAUCAUUCAUAGAGUGUAAAGGCAUAAGGGAGCUUGACUGCGAGACCUACAAGUCGAGCAGGGUCGAAAGACGGACUUAGUGAUCCGGUGGUUCCGCAUGGAAGGGCCAUCGCUCAACGGAUAAAAGCUACCCCGGGGAUAACAGGCUUAUCUCCCCCAAGAGUUCACAUCGACGGGGAGGUUUGGCACCUCGAUGUCGGCUCAUCGCAUCCUGGGGCUGUAGUCGGUCCCAAGGGUUGGGCUGUUCGCCCAUUAAAGCGGUACGCGAGCUGGGUUCAGAACGUCGUGAGACAGUUCGGUCCCUAUCCGUCGUGGGCGUAGGAAAUUUGAGAGGAGCUGUCCUUAGUACGAGAGGACCGGGAUGGACAUACCUCUGGUGUACCAGUUGUCGUGCCAACGGCAUAGCUGGGUAGCUAUGUGUGGACGGGAUAAGUGCUGAAAGCAUCUAAGCAUGAAGCCCCCCUCAAGAUGAGAUUUCCCAACUUCGGUUAUAAGAUCCCUCAAAGAUGAUGAGGUUAAUAGGUUCGAGGUGGAAGCAUGGUGACAUGUGGAGCUGACGAAUACUAAUCGAUCGAAGACUUAAUCAA